Molecule: ribosomal RNA, 422 nt
Filed under: Brevundimonas diminuta
Lineage: Bacteria; Pseudomonadati; Pseudomonadota; Alphaproteobacteria; Caulobacterales; Caulobacteraceae
Description: bacterial SSU rRNA
Rfam family: Bacterial small subunit ribosomal RNA
Source: RNAcentral
AACGCUGGCGCAGGCCUAACACAUGCAAGUCGACGGACCCUUCGGGGUUAGUGCGGACGGGUGAGUAACACGUGGGAACGUGCCUUUAGGUUCGGAAUAGCUCCUGGAAACGGGUGGUAAUGCCGAAUGUGCCCUUCGGGGGAAAGAUUUAUCGCCUUUAGAGCGGCCCGCGUCUGAUUAGCUAGUUGGUGAGGUAACGGCUCACCAAGGCGACGAUCAGUAGCUGGUCUGAGAGGAUGACCAGCCACGACUGGGACUGAGACUACGGCCCAGACUCCUACGGGAGGCAGCAGUGGGGAAUCUUGCGCAAUGGGCGAAAGCCUGACGCAGCCAUGCCGCGUGAAUGAUGAAGGUCUUAGGAUUGUAAAAUUCUUUCACCGGGGACGAUAAUGACGGUACCCGGAGAAGAAGCCGGCUACUCC